RNAcentral lists this ribosomal RNA (253 nucleotides) under uncultured bacterium. RNAcentral's name for it is "partial 16S ribosomal RNA". It matches the Rfam family "Bacterial small subunit ribosomal RNA", at positions 524 to 776 of the family's 1533-position model. The record is from RNAcentral.
UACGAAGGUGGCAAGCGUUGUUCGGAUUUACUGGGCGUACAGGGAGCGUAGGCGGUUGGAUAAGCCCUCCGUGAAAUCUCCAGGCUUGACCUGGAAAGUGCAGAGGGGACUGUUCAGCUAGAGGAUGGGAGAGGAGCGCGGAAUUCCCGGUGUAGCGGUGAAAUGCGUAGAGAUCGGGAGGAAGGCCGGUGGCGAAGGCGGCGCUCUGGAACAUUUCUGACGCUGAGGCUCGAAAGCGUGGGGAGCAAACAGG